This 538-nucleotide ribosomal RNA is filed under the name uncultured bacterium. Its description in RNAcentral is "bacterial SSU rRNA". It matches the Rfam family "Bacterial small subunit ribosomal RNA", at positions 384 to 924 of the family's 1533-position model. The record is from RNAcentral.
UGAUCAGCCAUGCCGCGUGAGUGAUGAAUGCCCUAUGGGUUGUAAACUUCUUUUGUACGGGAGAAAAUUGUCCGGUCGUGACCAAAUUGACAGUACUGUACCAAUAAGCAUCGGCUAACUCCGUGCCAGCAGCCGCGGUAAUACGGAGGAUGCGAGCGUUAUCCGGAUUUAUUGGGUUUAAAGGGUGCGUAGGCGGAUUUGUAAGUCAGUGGUGAAAGCCUGUCGCUUAACUGUAGCAUUGCCAUUGAUACUGGAAUUCUUGAGUAUAGUUGAGGUAGGCGGAAUGUGUAGUGUAGCGGUGAAAUGCUUAGAUAUUACACAGAACACCGAUUGCGAAGGCAGCUUACUAAGCUGUAACUGACGCUGAGGCACGAAAGCGUGGGGAUCAAACAGGAUUAGAUACCCUGGUAGUCCACGCCGUACCCGAUGAUCACUGGUUGUUGGCGAUAUACUGUCAGCGACUGAGCGAAGCAUUAAGUGAUCCACCUGGGGAGUACGACCGCAACGAUGAAACUCAAAUGAAUUGACGGAGAACGCU